Molecule: ribosomal RNA, 253 nt
Filed under: uncultured archaeon
Lineage: Archaea
Description: partial 16S ribosomal RNA
Rfam family: Archaeal small subunit ribosomal RNA
Source: RNAcentral
UACAGGUGGCACGAGUGGUGCCCGCGAAUAUUGAGCUUAAAGCGCCCGUAGCCGGCUUCGCAAGUUUCCCGUCAAAUCUCUCUGCUUAACGGAGAGGCGUGCGGGAAAUACUACGAGGCUCGAGAGUGGGGGAAGCCAAGAGUACGUUAGGGGGAGCGGUAAAAUGCUUUAAUCCUUAACGGACUACCAGUGGCGAAAGCGCUUGGCUAAAACACGUCUGACGGUGAGGGACGAAGGCUAGGGGAGCAAACGG